This 328-nucleotide unclassified non-coding RNA is filed under the name soil metagenome. RNAcentral describes it as "partial contains 5.8S ribosomal RNA, internal transcribed spacer 2, and large subunit ribosomal RNA". The stretch from base 1 to 120 matches the Rfam family "5.8S ribosomal RNA", at positions 35 to 154 of the family's 154-position model. The record is from RNAcentral.
GAUGAAGAACGUAGCGAAAUGCGAUAAGUAAUGUGAAUUGCAGAAUUCAGUGCAUCAUCGAAUCUUUGAACGCACAUUGCGCCCCUUGGUAUUCCGAGGGGCAUGCCCGUUCGAGCGUCAUUAUACCCCUCAAGCCUAGCUUGGUGUUGGGGCCUGCUGUUACCGGCAGCCCUUAAAAUCAGUGGCGGUGCCAUCUGGCUCUAAGCGUAGUAAUACUUCUCGCUACAGGGUCCCGGUGGAUGCUUGCCAUCAACCCCUAAUUUUCUAUGGUUGACCUCGGAUCGGGUAGGGAUACCCGCUGAACUUAAGCAUAUCAAUAAGCGGAGGA